RNAcentral lists this ribosomal RNA (253 nucleotides) under uncultured bacterium. Its description in RNAcentral is "partial 16S ribosomal RNA". It matches the Rfam family "Bacterial small subunit ribosomal RNA", at positions 524 to 776 of the family's 1533-position model. The record is from RNAcentral.
UACGUAGGGUCCGAGCGUUGUCCGGAAUUACUGGGCGUAAAGAGCUCGUAGGUGGUUUGUCGCGUUGUUCGUGAAAACUCACAGCUCAACUGUGGGCGUGCGGGCGAUACGGGCAGACUGGAGUACUGCAGGGGAGACUGGAAUUCCUGGUGUAGCGGUGGAAUGCGCAGAUAUCAGGAGGAACACCGGUGGCGAAGGCGGCUUUCUGGGCCUUACCUGACGCUGAGACGCGAAAGCGUGGGGAGCAAACAGG